AGAGUUUGAUCAUGGCUCAGGACGAACGCUGGCGGUGUGCCUAAUACAUGCAAGUCGAGCGACGCAUAUCGGAGGGGUAACCCACUGGUAUGACGGAGCGGCGAACGGGUGCGUAACACGUGAGCAACCUGCCCCACAGACCGGGAUAGCCCGAGGAAACUCGGAUUAAUACCGGAUACCCUCACCGGACCGCAUGGCCUGGUGAGGAAAGACUUUUGUGCUGUGGGAUGGGCUCGCGGCCUAUCAGCUAGUUGGUGAGGUAACGGCUCACCAAGGCAACGACGGGUAGCUGGUCUGAGAGGAUGAUCAGCCACACUGGAACUGAGACACGGUCCAGACUCCUACGGGAGGCAGCAGUAGGGAAUCUUGCGCAAUGGGCGAAAGCCUGACGCAGCAACACCGCGUGAGGGAUGACGGCCUUCGGGUUGUAAACCUCUUUCAGGAGGGACGAAAAUGACGGUACCUCCAGAAGAAGCCCCGGCCAACUACGUGCCAGCAGCCGCGGUAAUACGUAGGGGGCAAGCGUUGUCCGGAAUCAUUGGGCGUAAAGAGCUCGUAGGCGGCUCAGUAAGUCGAUCGUGGAAGACCGGGGCUCAACCCCGGGGCGUCGGUCGAUACUGCUGUGGCUUGAGUCCGGUAGAGGAAGAUGGAAUUCCCGGUGUAGCGGUGAAAUGCGCAGAUAUCGGGAGGAACACCAGUAGCGAAGGCGGUCUUCUGGGCCGGAACUGACGCUGAGGAGCGAAAGCGUGGGUAGCAAACAGGAUUAGAUACCCUGGUAGUCCACGCCGUAAACGAUGGAUACUAGGUGUGGCGGAUCGUCAACGACUGCCGUGCCGAAGCUAACGCAUUAAGUAUCCCGCCUGGGGAGUACGGCCGCAAGGCUAAAACUCAAAGGAAUUGACGGGUCCCCGCACAAGCGGCGGAGCAUGCGGCUUAAUUCGAUGCAACCCGAAGAACCUUACCUGGCCUUGACAUAAUGGGUCUACCCUUGGAAACAAGGGGUGCUUUGCGCUCAUUACAGGUGGUGCAUGGCUGUCGUC
Molecule: ribosomal RNA, 1040 nt
Filed under: uncultured bacterium
Lineage: Bacteria
Description: bacterial SSU rRNA
Rfam family: Bacterial small subunit ribosomal RNA
Source: RNAcentral